Molecule: transfer RNA, 72 nt
Filed under: Bos taurus (domestic cattle)
Lineage: Eukaryota; Metazoa; Chordata; Mammalia; Artiodactyla; Bovidae
Also listed under: 4 other names
Rfam family: tRNA
About the family: Transfer RNA (tRNA) molecules are approximately 80 nucleotides in length. Their secondary structure includes four short double-helical elements and three loops (D, anti-codon, and T loops). Further hydrogen bonds mediate the characteristic L-shaped molecular structure. tRNAs have two regions of fundamental functional importance: the anti-codon, which is responsible for specific mRNA codon recognition, and the 3' end, to which the tRNAs corresponding amino acid is attached (by aminoacyl-tRNA synthetases). tRNAs cope with the degeneracy of the genetic code in two manners: having more than one tRNA (with a specific anti-codon) for a particular amino acid; and 'wobble' base-pairing, i.e. permitting non-standard base-pairing at the 3rd anti-codon position.
Source: Rfam by way of RNAcentral
UCCCUAGUGGCUCAGAUGGUAAAGCAUCUGUCUGCAGUGCAGGAGACCCAGGUUCAAUCCCUGGGUUGGGAA